Molecule: ribosomal RNA, 460 nt
Filed under: uncultured bacterium
Lineage: Bacteria
Description: partial 16S ribosomal RNA
Rfam family: Bacterial small subunit ribosomal RNA
Source: RNAcentral
CCUACGGGAGGCAGCAGUGAGGAAUAUUGGUCAAUGGGCGUAAGCCUGAACCAGCCAAGUCGCGUGAGGGAUGAAGGUUCUAUGGAUCGUAAACCUCUUUUAUAAGGGAAUAAAGUGUGGGACGUGUCCUGUGUUGUAUGUACCUUAUGAAUAAGGAUCGGCUAACUCCGUGCCAGCAGCCGCGGUAAUACGGAGGAUCCGAGCGUUAUCCGGAUUUAUUGGGUUUAAAGGGGGGUUAGGCGGCCUUUUAAGUCAGCGGUGAAAGUCUGGGGCGCAAUCAUAGAAUUGCCGUUGAAACUGGGGGUCUUGAGUAUGUUUGAGGCAGGCGGAAUGCGUGGUGUAGCGGUGAAAUGCUUAGAUAUCACGCAGAACCCCGAUUGCGAAGGCAGCCUGCCAGGCCAUGACUGACGCUGAUGCACGAAAGCGUGGGGAUCAAACAGGAUUAGAUACCCUUGUAGUC